Molecule: ribosomal RNA, 454 nt
Filed under: uncultured bacterium
Lineage: Bacteria
Description: partial 16S ribosomal RNA
Rfam family: Bacterial small subunit ribosomal RNA
Source: RNAcentral
GAUGAACGCUGACAGAAUGCUUAACACAUGCAAGUCUACUUGAACUUCGGUUUGGGUGGCGGACGGGUGAGUAACGCGUAAAGAACUUGCCUCACAGUUAGGGACAACAUUUGGAAACGAAUGCUAAUACCUGAUAUUAUGAUUUUAGGGCAUCCUAAAAUUAUGAAAGCUAUAUGCGCUGUGAGAGAGCUUUGCGUCCCAUUAGCUAGUUGGAGAGGUAACGGCUCACCAAGGCGAUGAUGGGUAGCCGGCCUGAGAGGGUGAACGGUCACAAGGGGACUGAGACACGGCCCUUACUCCUACGGGAGGCAGCAGUGGGGAAUAUUGGACAAUGGACCAAAAGUCUGAUCCAGCAAUUCUGUGUGCACGAUGACGUUUUUCGGAAUGUAAAGUGCUUUCAGUUGGGAAGAAAAAAAUGACGGUACCAACAGAAGAAGUGACGGCUAAAUACGUG